This is a long non-coding RNA of Oreochromis niloticus (Nile tilapia), 1632 nucleotides long. RefSeq lists it as uncharacterized. Lineage: Eukaryota; Metazoa; Chordata; Actinopteri; Cichliformes; Cichlidae. The transcript has 4 exons. The record is from RefSeq and is a predicted model, not a curated record.
UCAGGGGAAGCUAGCAAACAGCUAGCAGCUACAUUGAUCUGUGUCACCAUCCACCUCUCAAUCACACCACGCCCCUAAUAAUGCAAACUUUAAGUGUUAAUGUGAGUUCUGAAAAUGUUAUGAAGGGGAAAGUUACCAAUAAAGAUCGGAACAGUUUGUGUAUCAAGCUGUACACGUUUAUUAGUUUUAACAUGGGAGUCUAUGGGAGUGAACUCACUGCUGCCUCUCCUGGACACUAGAGGAACUGCAGGGUUUGGCACAAAGGUUUUUAAUUGCUUCAAUCAUCGUCUGCAAGUGUUCAGGUAGGACCCUUCUCCUUAGUUUGGUUGCCAUGAUGUCUCUGUGUGGGUGGAGGCUUGUUUCCUUGUUUGUCUGCUGUUUUUUUGUAGGCUUUUCUUUGUUUCUGGUUGGAGCUUUUUUUGCUCUUUAUGGUUGUUUUUCCAUCCUCUGUGUUUGUUGGCUGGCUUUCUCUAUUUUGUGUCUUUCAUGAAACUUUACUGACUUGUUUUCAGCUGAGUUCCUCCCACAAUCUUUUUGCUGUGCGCCGAUGAACUGAAUUAUUAAAUGUUAAUAACAGAUGGAGCUUUUAUUGUGUGUGUGUGUGUGUGUCUGUGUGUGUCUGUGUGUGUGUGGGAUGUGGCUUUUGGAACAUUUUCUUCAGGCCAAAUAAAGCUGCCCAUGUAAACUCCACAUUCCUGACUCUGCGGUGCGUCUGACUUUCUUUAUGGAGGGAGGAGGCUAUCUAUGUGUGUGUGUGUGUGUGUAUCUGUGUGUGUGAGUGUAUGUGUGUGUGUCUGUGUCUUUGUGUUUGAGUGUGUGUGAGGUUCACACACUUUGUGCUGACUGCAGUGAAAGCGGAGGGUCAGGGUUAGUUAGACCUCGUCCUCUCUGCAGAAUGAACAGCUGGAACGACUCUGAGGAUCUGGCAGGGAAACUACACCAGCUACAUUCACUACUGCGAGUACUGCAGUACAAACCUGAGGUGAUUUUCACCAUCUCUGUUAUUGCUGGUACCUGAAUAGUCUGCUGGAUGGAGAUGAUGGUGCAGCAAGUGGAGCAUAACUGUACAGGUGAAGCUGUAGAGGACCUGGAAAGAAAAACCCCAAACAUGCAGCACACUACGAAACAUCCAGCUGUGCAAGACGAGCAGAAACACCACAGCGGGAAAACUCUGACAAGAAGUUUGAGUUUUCCAGCAGGAGAGGGACUCUAGUUCACAGCCACAGACUCUGGUGGAUGCAUUGCGAGCAGCUUAGGGGUUUUGGUCUUGUCCGAGGAUAUAUGUCAUGCAGACUGGAGCAGAUGGGGAUGGAAACUGAAUCUUCUGUUUAAUGUUUGAAGUUUUUGACUUCAGCUCUUUUAUCCUUGUGUUGUUUCCUGUGAUGUGCACUCUGUCUACUCUGGCUCCCUGAGGUCACUUUUGCUGUAAAUCUAAUUAAAAAAAUGAUCUUUGUGUUAUGUUUGCCUGUUUUUAGGUCCUCUAAAUCACUGUGGGCAGUUGUGCUGUACAGACUGUGCACACAUGUACCUGUGUUAAAAAUACUCUGUAUACUCUGCUGACUGAAGCUCCUUGUUGCUGUAACAAUAAAAUGAUCAGAAGCUAAAUGCUUCAGUAUGAAAAGCAGUGAUGGA